GUAGCAAUACUCAGUGGCAGACGGGUGAGUAACAUGUGGGAAUCCUCCCUUUGGUGAGGAAUAACACGAGGAAACUUGUGCUAAUACCUCAUAAGUCUUUACGGAGAAAGCUUUAUGCGCCAAUGGAUGAGCCCGCAUUUGAUUAGUUUGUUGGUAGGGUAAUGGCCUACCAAGACUGCGAUCAAUAGCUGAUCUGAGAGGAUGAUCAGCCACAUUGGGACUGAGACACGGCCCAAACUCCUACGGGAGGCAGCAGUAGGGAACAUUGCACAAUGGAGGAAACUCUGAUGCAGCGAUGCCGCGUGAGUGAAGAAGGCCUUUGGGUUGUAAAGCUCUUUCGUCGGGGAAGAAAAUGACUGUACCCGAAUAAGAAGGUCCGGCUAACUUCGUGCCAGCAGCCGCGGUAAUACGAAGGGACCUAGCGUAGUUCGGAAUUACUGGGCUUAAAGAGUUCGUAGGUGGUUAAAAUAGUUGGUGGUGAAAUCCCAGAGCUUAACUCUGGAACUGCCAUCAAAACUUUUUAGCUAGAGUUUGAUAGAGGAAAGCAGAAUUUCUAGUGUAGAGGUGAAAUUCGUAGAUAUUAGAAAGAAUACCAAUUGCGAAGGCAGCUUUCUGGAUCAUUACUGACACUGAGGAACGAAAGCAUGGGUAGCGAAGAGGAUUAGAUACCCUCGUAGUCCAUGCCGUAAACGAUGUGUGUUAGACGUUGGAAAUUUAUUUUCAGUGUCGCAGCGAAAGCAUUAAACACACCGCCUGGGGAGUACGACCGCAAGGUUAAAACUCAAAUGAAUUGACGGGGACCCGCACAAGUAGUGGAGCAUGUGGUUUAAUUCGAAGAUACGCGCAGAACCUUACCAACACUUGACAUGUUCGUCGCGACUUUAAGAGAUUAAAGUUUUCGGUUCGGCCGGACGAAACACAGGUGCUGCAUGGCUGUCGUCAGCUCGUGUCGUGAGAUGUUGGGUUAAGUCCCGCAACGAGCGCAACCCUCACUUUUAGU
RNAcentral lists this ribosomal RNA (1000 nucleotides) under uncultured bacterium. RNAcentral's name for it is "bacterial SSU rRNA". It matches the Rfam family "Bacterial small subunit ribosomal RNA", at positions 82 to 1115 of the family's 1533-position model. The record is from RNAcentral.